UCUUCCCGAUACUCCAUAAGGCUUCAGAUACUAAACGUGGAAUGAUCUGAAAGGUUCAGGACGACUGUGCUGGCUGUCACCCUUUGAAUGGUGGAGAAUUCCAUGUUAUUGAUCUAUUGUGGUUAGCAUUUAUAAGCAUGCCUAACUCGUUUCACAUUAAAAAAUGCGAAAGUCGGAAAGUGUAUUGAGUUUUAGGUAGGAUGUGAUUCCUCUCUCUCUUCCUCUCCCACUCAAUUUCUCUCUGUAUUCACCGCAUGCGUAGGCACAGGCACAGCCAACCCCUUUCUCUCUAGUCUCUUGUUCCCACCAAGAUGUAUUUUUCCCUGACCGUAGAUGGCUUUGUUUCCUUGCAAGUCCUCAUCUUCUGUAAUUCCAUUAAAAUUUUCGAGUCUUGUUUAAUUUUUUCUUUGCUUACUAGUUUUAAUCCUGCUAUGAAUUCCAUUGUUCUUUUUGUUGAGAUUUGUGCAGAGGAAAAACAUCAACUUUAUAGAUUGGCGACCACAUUGAAGGUUCCCUUCUCUUUCCCUGUGACAAAUUGCAUCCCUGGGAACAAUUGCUGCCGCACAUAAAAGAUAAACUAGUUUUGUAUUUUCUUGGAGUUGAAAACUAUUGGGUUACCCAUGGACAACACAUCUAAAGCUUCAUCAACUCGUCCAUGGCUCUGGGUGAUUGAAGCCCUAGCAAGCUGUAGGGAAAUAGACAACUCUACUUUACAAGACUUGAUUGAUGUAGCCCCUGUAGAGCCCAGUGAAUUUGGGGAAAACACAAGCGAAUUGGUUGCUGGAAGAUGCUUGGAGAC
This is a long non-coding RNA of Neltuma alba, 799 nucleotides long. RefSeq lists it as uncharacterized. The record is from RefSeq and is a predicted model, not a curated record. The transcript is spliced from 4 exons. Lineage: Eukaryota; Viridiplantae; Streptophyta; Magnoliopsida; Fabales; Fabaceae.